AACGUAGGAGGCAAGCGUUAUCCGGAUUUACUGGGCGUAAAGCGUGUGUAGGCGGUUCGGCAAGUUGGAUGUGAAAGCUCCUGGCUUAACUAGGAGAGGUCGUUCAAUACUACCGAACUUGAGGGCAUCAGAGGAGAGUGGAAUUCCCGGUGUAGUGGUGAAAUGCGUAGAUAUCGGGAGGAACACCAGUGGCGAAGGCGGCUCUCUGGGAUGUUCCUGACGCUCAGACACGAAAGCUAGGGUAG
Molecule: ribosomal RNA, 245 nt
Filed under: uncultured bacterium
Lineage: Bacteria
Description: partial 16S ribosomal RNA
Rfam family: Bacterial small subunit ribosomal RNA
Source: RNAcentral